UACGAGGGGUCCUAGCGUUGUUCGGAAUCAUUGGGCGUAAAGCGCAUGUAGGCGGCCCAGCAAGUCAGAUGUGAAAGCCCGGGGCUUAACCUCGGAAGUGCAUUUGAAACUGUUGGGCUUGAGUACGAUAGAGGAUAGCGGAAUUCCUGGUGUAGUGGUGAAAUACGUAGAUAUCAGGAGGAACAUCAGUGGCGAAGGCGGCUAUCUGGAUCGAUACUGACGUUGAGAUGCGAAAGCGUGGGGAUCAAACAGG
RNAcentral lists this unclassified non-coding RNA (253 nucleotides) under uncultured Pseudobdellovibrionaceae bacterium. RNAcentral's name for it is "uncultured Bdellovibrionaceae bacterium contains 16S-23S intergenic spacer region". It matches the Rfam family "Bacterial small subunit ribosomal RNA", at positions 524 to 776 of the family's 1533-position model. Lineage: Bacteria; Pseudomonadati; Bdellovibrionota; Bdellovibrionia; Bdellovibrionales; Pseudobdellovibrionaceae. The record is from RNAcentral.